GCGGCGUGCCUAACACAUGCAAGUCGAACGGGAAAUCUUCGGAUUCUAGUGGCGGACGGGUGAGUAACGCGUAAGAAUCUAACUUCAGGACGGGGACAACAGUUGGAAACGACUGCUAAUACCCGAUGUGCCGCAAGGUGAAACCUAAUUGGCCUGAAGAAGAGCUUGCGUCUGAUUAGCUAGUUGGUGGGGUAAAGGCCUACCAAGGCGACGAUCAGUAGCUGGUCUGAGAGGAUGAGCAGCCACACUGGGACUGAGACACGGCCCAGACUCCUACGGGAGGCAGCAGUGGGGAAUUUUCCGCAAUGGGCGAAAGCCUGACGGAGCAACGCCGCGUGAGGGAGGAAGGUCUUUGGAUUGUAAACCUCUUUUCUCAAGGAAGAAGUUCUGACGGUACUUGAGGAAUCAGCCUCGGCUAACUCCGUGCCAGCAGCCGCGGUAAUACGGGGGAGGCAAGCGUUAUCCGGAAUUAUUGGGCGUAAAGCGUCCGCAGGUGGUCAGCCAAGUCUGCUGUCAAAUCAGGUUGCUUAACGACCUAAAGGCGGUGGAAACUGGCAGACUAGAGAGCAGUAGGGGUAGCAGGAUUCCCAGUGUAGCGGUGAAUGCGUAGAGAUUGGGAAGAACAUCGGUGGCGAAAGCGUGCUACUGGGCUGUAUCUGACNCUCAGGGACGAAAGCUAGGGGAGCGAAAGGGAUUAGAUACCCCUGUAGUCCUAGCCGUAAACGAUGGAUACUAGGCGUG
This 741-nucleotide ribosomal RNA is filed under the name uncultured cyanobacterium. Its description in RNAcentral is "bacterial SSU rRNA". It matches the Rfam family "Bacterial small subunit ribosomal RNA", at positions 39 to 824 of the family's 1533-position model. The record is from RNAcentral. Lineage: Bacteria; Bacillati; Cyanobacteriota.